Molecule: ribosomal RNA, 154 nt
Filed under: uncultured Chlamydiales bacterium
Lineage: Bacteria; Pseudomonadati; Chlamydiota; Chlamydiia; Chlamydiales
Description: partial 16S ribosomal RNA
Source: RNAcentral
UCUUGAUCUUCGCUUGGGCGGGGCCUGACAAUGCGACGCCGUGUGAGCGAUGAACGACUUAUGGUCGUCAAGCUCUUUCGCUUGGGAACCAGAGAWGYUGGAUAAUAUCCWCCUCAUUUGAGGGUACCAAGUAAAGAAGCACCGGCUAUCUCCA